UAGGAAAAGGGAGAGACAAAUCAAAAACAGAUGAGAGGGGAUUAGGAAAUCGUCAAGUUCUUGGAGAUAUUGGUAACCUUGAAGUACUUAAAACCACUGAUGGCAAGCACAUUUCACGGCCUAUCACAAGGAACCUUUAUGCAAAACUUUUGGCAAAUUCACAAUUUACUGCAAACUUGUUGUUGGAUCCAAAAGCCCAAGCUAAUGAACAAGGAGCUGCACAAGGGAAUAAGAACUUUGUUCAACUUGAAUUAGACAAUACAGCAAGCGUUCACAGGAAACAUGGUUUAGAGGAAAGCUUUGAGCACGAUAAUGAAAGAAAGUUUAAGAAAAGAUCUUGUAGGAAAGUCAUAGUCUAACUGCAGAAAUUACUGCACAGAGCAAGUGUGGAGUCUGGUGACAUUGAUCUAUCUGAGUUUUAAGAAGAGAACCAGGGUGACGAUGGUGAUAAAAACGAUAACGAUAGAGAUGACGGGGCUGAUAUUAAAAGAGAAUCUGUAGUCAAGAGGGAACCCAGCAAGCUGCUGGAACAAAUGAAAAUGCAGCAAAUGGAUCUAACCCCCAGCCGAAGAAACUAAUUAUAAGUGAUGAAUACUUUCAAAGAGUGACUAGGGCACUCAUCAUGCAUCUUAGACAGCAGGAAGAAACUGUUCUGCAACAAGGAACUGAGUUGGCUGAAACAAGGCAACGAGAUUUGAUUCAAUGGUAUAUAGACCAACAAAAUGAGAAAAACGCUUACAGUUCUAUGGAGGAGGUUAAAGCAGAAC
Molecule: long non-coding RNA, 767 nt
Organism: Arachis duranensis
Lineage: Eukaryota; Viridiplantae; Streptophyta; Magnoliopsida; Fabales; Fabaceae
Exons: 7
Source: RefSeq, a predicted model, not a curated record